UAAUUGGAAUGAUACAGGGAAGAUUAGCAUGGCCCCUGCACAAGGAUGACACACAAAUUCACAAAUAAUUCCAUAAAAAA
Molecule: small nuclear RNA, 80 nt
Filed under: Fukomys damarensis (Damara mole-rat)
Lineage: Eukaryota; Metazoa; Chordata; Mammalia; Rodentia; Bathyergidae
Source: RNAcentral